UACGUAGGGCGCAAGCGUUAUCCGGAAUUAUUGGGCGUAAAGAGCUCGUAGGCGGUUUGUCGCGUCUGCCGUGAAAGUCCGGGGGCUCAACUCCGGAUCUGCGGUGGGUACGGGCAGACUAGAGUGAUGUAGGGGAGACUGGAAUUCCUGGUGUAGCGGUGAAAUGCGCAGAUAUCAGGAGGAACACCGAUGGCGAAGGCAGGUCUCUGGGCAUUAACUGACGCUGAGGAGCGAAAAGCGUGGGGGAGCGAACAGG
This 256-nucleotide ribosomal RNA is filed under the name uncultured bacterium. RNAcentral's name for it is "partial 16S ribosomal RNA". It matches the Rfam family "Bacterial small subunit ribosomal RNA", at positions 524 to 776 of the family's 1533-position model. The record is from RNAcentral.